UACAUGUACAGGAUAGGUGGGAGGCUUUGAAACCAGGACGCCAGUUUUGGCGGAGCCAUCCUUGGGAUACCACCCUUGUAGUACUGGGACUCUAACCAUAGGCCAUGAAUCUGGUCUUGGGACACUGUCAGGUGGGCAGUUUGACUGGGGCGGUCGCCUCCCAAAAGGUAACGGAGGCGCUCAAAGGUUCUCUCAGUACGGUCGGAAAUCGUACGUAGAGUGUAAAGGCAAAAGAGAGCUUGAUUGCAAGACAUACAGGUCGAGCAA
Molecule: ribosomal RNA, 267 nt
Filed under: Clostridioides difficile
Lineage: Bacteria; Bacillati; Bacillota; Clostridia; Peptostreptococcales; Peptostreptococcaceae
Description: partial 23S ribosomal RNA
Rfam family: Bacterial large subunit ribosomal RNA
Source: RNAcentral